Molecule: long non-coding RNA, 2853 nt
Organism: Setaria italica (foxtail millet)
Lineage: Eukaryota; Viridiplantae; Streptophyta; Magnoliopsida; Poales; Poaceae
Exons: 2
Source: RefSeq, a predicted model, not a curated record
CCCCCCCCCCCCCCGGGCUCUGUAUUCUCACAUUCCACCCCUGAACCCGUCGUGGGCCAGUUCUUGGGCUACUGCUGGGUUAUAGAUGUUCAGUAUCUAUCUUCCGGAAGAUGGAUAGGAUUUCCCUCCGUCGCCUCAGGUCCCCAUCUCUACGGGGCCGCCUCGCCGCCGAUCCGUUGCUUUGCACCGGUGGCGGCAGGGGCUGGGAACUGUGGGGUGUCGCCUGAUGCGGCUUCUGGGUCGGGUUUGGCCGGCCGCGGUCUACUGAUUCGCUACUCCGGAUGGAUGGAUGGAUGGAUGAUGGAUGGAUGCAAGGGUCUCGAUGCCUUAUUCUCUGUUCCUAUUAUUACUACAGCUGCUGCGGCCGCCACAGCGGUGAUCUCUUUUGCCUGCUGUUGCCUCUGUGUGCUGUGCUGUGAAUCUGUGAUCUGCUGACUGCUCUGCUUUGCUCUGAAUGUUCCUAGCCCUUCCGCUCCUCAUCCUCUCGACCUUUGUGGCAUUUGGAUGGGCAGUGCGACUGGGAUCAGGAUAUGAGAUGGAAUGAGAUGAGAUGCAAAAGAGGUGGGUUUUCUGUCUUGACUCAUGGUCAAAGUACCCAGUGCAAGUGAAAUUUUACUUAGGAUGACCAUAUCUGACAUUACCCGGACCUAUGAAUGGGGUGCUGAUGAGGGGCGAUGAUGUUCAACCUUUUCUGAAUUGCAUGCCAUUGAGCAAUCAAGGCAGCUGUGGGUAUCUAAUUUGAGCUGAUCUCUCCCCUCUUGAAGCCUAUUUAACCAUCUCUUAUUGUUUGUGGUUCUGUGCCUAGGAUGGUCAUUCAGAUAUGCGACAACCAGCGCAGUUCCACUUAUAUUAGGAUGAGUAAAUUGUGCAGCAAGAGGUGUGAGGGCUUGGCUUGUAUGAUCGAGCAAAGGCGAAGCUGAGCCCUCUUAGUACUAUUUCAAUACUAACAGCUUUGUCUUGCUGUACAAUUCAUAGUUUUCUUUUUCUCUUGUUUGAGUGUUUCAUCUUUCAACUAUUGCCAGCCUUCAUUCUGAAGUCAGAAUUCGGCAUUAGGGACUGCUCUUCCAUGCACUUGCAUGGAUGCCCUUUUGGGUUGCAGCAUCAAAUUAAGAGAAGAAUGUUUCCCUUUUUCUAAGAGUUGAUUCUUUUCUAAGAGUGUCAAUUUCACUUACAUGCAUGCCUUUUAGAAUUUGGGAAUGCCAUCUGUAAAUGGACCCAGUAUAUACAAAAUGGGUUGCUGAUGAGUGGCAAUGAUGAUCAGCCCUUUUUAAGGACAUGCCUUUGAUAAAUCGAGGCAGCUGUGGCGUCAAAUUUGACCUUGAACCUCUGUGUUGCAGCUUAUGCGAUCAUUCCUUGUUUGACCUUGAACCUCUCUCUCUGCCCUCCUUUCCUGGUGGUGAUGGCAACUAGGCAAGCCGUGGCCCCCUUCACACAUCAUCAUCAGGCCCUUUGCUGGUGACGAGCAUCCACCAGGUAUGCUCGCCCCUUCUCUUCCCUUCCUGUUGUGCUAAACAGAGCACCCCAAACCCUAAUGUAAGCUAUUUGUAUUCGGAUCUGAUCCAGUUACAAGUAUAUGUAUGUGUUAUACCUACAAGCUUUGAUUUUAUUUAUUUAUUUUUUGCAAAAAAAAGUCAGGUGUACAUGUGUACGCCCUUGUCCUAUACUUGGUCCGUCCUCCCCGCUCUUCAGCAGCCGCAAGCAGGGCAGUGGUGGCAGCAAGGGGUCGGAAUUGCAAGUCAGGCUUUUGUUUAAGCACUUUCUGCUUGCAAUAUUUUUAUUUGACUUGGAAUUUUCAAUGCCCCUCUUGAAACAUCCCCUCAAUAAAAGAGAAAAAGGAUAAAAGAAAUCUCAAUCAAUGUUCACUCUACUUCCACUGCUGUAUGAUCUUCGUUUUUGUUUGUUCUACUCUUGAGUGGCUAUGAUGAUUCAUCUGUAGCAUUGUUUUAGCUGGUACCUGGGAUUUUUGUUCUAUUUGUUGCUUAACUAGGAUGGCUUGUACAUCAAGUAACCAGUUCUACAGCCAACUGCGGCAGCUGAUGGCUGUUACCGCUGAUACUGAUGACAGCUGGUGGCCCGUCUGAACUGACAUUGCUGUUUCAUUUAAGGGGGGAGAGAGAGAGCUUAGAUUGUGUUGCAGCUGAUAUGUCCUGCAGUUGAUGCUCUACCAAUCCGCGAUUCUGUCUUGCGUUGCUGCCACUGAUCUCAAGGGUCGUUCUUCACUUCCCUUCCUGCUGGAUUCGAACCUGGGACCUGGGUCAAUAUUAUUGGGACUAAUAUGUCCAGUCAGUUCAAUCUCACGAGUGAGCUUUGGCUUCCUGCAAGAAUGAAUAAGAUAAAAUUCCAAUGAGGGGCAAUGAUCAGCAAUGAUGUCUGAUAUAAGCGCCUUUGAGGCAGGCUGCUCUGGGCAUCAAACUGGAAUCUUCCCUCUCUUGGAAACCUUAUCAACUAUGCGCUAAUGGCUUUGUCCUUGGAUGGUCAUGCCAUUCUUCAUGGGUGAUAACCAGGACAGCUCCUCUUUCAGAACAGGUUUAUAGGGUGGUAAGAGAAGGUGGGGAAUGCAGUUAUAUGAUGGAGCAAAGGCGAAGCUGAGCCCACUCAAAUGUUUUACUGCUACCCACAGUAUUUUAUGUGAUCGGUUUUUUGUUGAAUAUGUUGUUGCUUUGUGUUUUAUGUCUAACCUAUUUACCAACUUACUUUCUUUUUGCUGUAUUUGUAUAACUCCAUGCAGUUACCUUGCCAAUUGCGUUCAUUGGCAAGUUGUGACAUUUCUUAAUUUUUGCCGUUAAUUCUGCUAUAUUUGUUUGCAGUAUCCUGCUGCAAUAUCAGUGGUUACAUUACCUGAAGAUACUUUCA